CGGCGAACGGGUGAGUAACACGUGGGUGAUCUGCCCUGCACUUCGGGAUAAGCCUGGGAAACUGGGUCUAAUACCGGAUAUGACCUCCUAUCGCAUGGUGGGUGGUGGAAAGAUUUAUCGGUGCAGGAUGGGCCCGCGGCCUAUCAGCUUGUUGGUGGGGUAAUGGCCUACCAAGGCGACGACGGGUAGCCGACCUGAGAGGGUGACCGGCCACACUGGGACUGAGACACGGCCCAGACUCCUACGGGAGGCAGCAGUGGGGAAUAUUGCACAAUGGGCGAAAGCCUGAUGCAGCGACGCCGCGUGAGGGAUGACGGCCUUCGGGUUGUAAACCUCUUUCAGCAGGGACGAAGCGCAAGUGACGGUACCUGCAGAAGAAGCACCGGCUAACUACGUGCCAGCAGCCGCGGUAAUACGUAGGGUGCGAGCGUUGUCCGGAAUUACUGGGCGUAAAGAGUUCGUAGGCGGUUUGUCGCGUCGUUUGUGAAAACCAGCAGCUCAACUGCUGGCUUGCAGGCGAUACGGGCAGACUUGAGUACUGCAGGGGAGACUGGAAUUCCUGGUGUAGCGGUGAAAUGCGGAGAUAUCAGGAGGAACACCGGUGGCGAAGGCGGGUCUCUGGGCAGUAACUGACGCUGAGGAACGAAAGCGUGGGUAGCGAACAGGAUUAGAUACCCUGGUAGUCCACGCCGUAAACGGUGGGCGCU
Molecule: ribosomal RNA, 707 nt
Filed under: uncultured bacterium
Lineage: Bacteria
Description: bacterial SSU rRNA
Rfam family: Bacterial small subunit ribosomal RNA
Source: RNAcentral